Long non-coding RNA from Octodon degus (degu), 519 nucleotides. RefSeq lists it as uncharacterized. Lineage: Eukaryota; Metazoa; Chordata; Mammalia; Rodentia; Octodontidae. The transcript has 3 exons. The record is from RefSeq and is a predicted model, not a curated record.
UCCUCUCUGAAUGGGAAACAUGUAGGAAGAGAAGGAGAGGGAGACAGCCAGGGAGGAAGCAAAACAGGGAUGCUGGCAGGGAGAUGUGGAGAAAGGAAGAGAGGUUUUAAGUCAAAGCGAGCUGCCCAUAAAUUCCAUUCUUUCUCAUUUAUUAGACCCUUUCCAAUUCACUGCUUAUGGGGGAAAGGUAUGUUUACCAUCUGUGAAGAGACGCCUGCGAGAAGAGGAUCCUCUCUACUGCAGAAUUGUUCCCUCCCCUUAUUGCAAUUUCUACAAUUUCUCCAUGGAAGCUUCACUCAUGAUCUAGACCUGGGGAGAGCUGGGCUGAGGAGAGCACAGGAGCUGCCCGACCACGACUGCCUGGAGAGAAUGCUCCAUGGAAGAGGGUGGGCUUCAGGCAGGCUGCACCCAUUUUGCAACAUUGCCCGGAGCCAGCGCUGGUCACUUUCCGGGCAGAAAGUAUGACACAAAGAGGCAGAUUGCAUUCUCAUUUCACAUGUGGACAAAGCCAUAUCAUGC